UACGUAGGGGGCAAGCGUUGUCCGGAAUCAUUGGGCGUAAAGAGCGUGUAGGCGGUUCGGUAAGUCGGCUGUGAAAGUCCAGGGCUCAACCCUGGGAUGCCGGUCGAUACUGCCGGACUAGAGUUCGGAAGAGGCGAGUGGAAUUCCCGGUGUAGCGGUGAAAUGCGCAGAUAUCAGGAGGAACACCAAUUGCGAAGGCAGCUCGCUGGGACGUAACUGACGCUGAGACGCGAAAGCGUGGGGAGCAAACAGG
RNAcentral lists this ribosomal RNA (253 nucleotides) under uncultured bacterium. RNAcentral's name for it is "partial 16S ribosomal RNA". It matches the Rfam family "Bacterial small subunit ribosomal RNA", at positions 524 to 776 of the family's 1533-position model. The record is from RNAcentral.